CGGGGGGAGCAAGCGUUGUUCGGAUUUACUGGGCGUAAAGGGCGUGUAGGCGGCCACCGCAAGUCAGUUGUGAAAGCUCUGGGCUUAACCCAGAAAGGUCAACUGAUACUGCGGGGCUAGAGUGCAGAAGGGGCAACUGGAAUUCUCGGUGUAGCGGUGAAAUGCGUAGAUAUCGAGAGGAACACCUGCGGCGAAGGCGGGUUGCUGGGCUGACACUGACGCUGAAACGCGAAAGCUAGGGGAGCGAACGGGAUUAGAUACCCCGGUAGUCCUAGCCUUAAACGAUGAAUGCUUGGUGUCUGGGGUUUUAUAGUCCCCGGGUGCCGUCGCUAACGCUUUAAGCAUUCCGCCUGGGGAGUACGGUCGCAAGACUG
Molecule: ribosomal RNA, 374 nt
Filed under: uncultured organism
Description: bacterial SSU rRNA
Rfam family: Bacterial small subunit ribosomal RNA
Source: RNAcentral